GAUGAAGAACGCAGCGAAAUGCGAUACGUAAUGUGAAUUGCAGAAUUCAGUGAAUCAUCGAAUCUUUGAACGCAUAUUGCGCUCUCUGGUAUUCCGGAGAGCAUGCUUGUUUGAGUAUCAGUAAACACCUCAACUUCCAUAUCUUUUUUGAAAUGGGAGUUGGACUUGAGUGAUCCCAACGCUUUUCCUCACCGAAAAGUGGCGGGUUACUUGAAAUGCAGGUGCAGCUGGACUUUUCUCUGAGCUAUAAGCAUAUCUAUUUAGUCUGCCUAAAAACAGAUUAUUACCUGUGCUGCAGCUAACAUAAAGGAGAUUAGUUCUUGUGCUGACUGAUGCAGGAUUCACAAAGACAGGCUUCGGCCGACUUUGUAAACUCGAUCUCAAAUCAAGUAAGACUACCCGCUGAACUUAAGCAUAUCAAUAAGCGGAGGA
RNAcentral lists this unclassified non-coding RNA (432 nucleotides) under soil metagenome. RNAcentral's name for it is "partial contains 5.8S ribosomal RNA, internal transcribed spacer 2, and large subunit ribosomal RNA". The stretch from base 1 to 120 matches the Rfam family "5.8S ribosomal RNA", at positions 35 to 154 of the family's 154-position model. The record is from RNAcentral.